Molecule: long non-coding RNA, 1067 nt
Organism: Camelus dromedarius (Arabian camel)
Lineage: Eukaryota; Metazoa; Chordata; Mammalia; Artiodactyla; Camelidae
Exons: 2
Source: RefSeq, a predicted model, not a curated record
UGAGAGCGCGGCCCGCCCACCGGGUCACAUGGCUGGGAGCCGAGCAGAGGAUCAAAGGGGCUUUGUGGCCGAGGAACAAGGAGCCUCCCAGAGCGCGGGCAGAGGCGCCCUGCCAGAGCUGGGGGAGCAUCCCGGGGAGGCCCUGGACAUCUAGAGCCCCUGUGCGCAUCUCAGUGGGAGGGAGGCCGUGGUGGAUCGGAGACACGGGCUUCAAAGUCAGAACCGGAUGGAGGCCCCUGCGCUCGCACCAGCUUUGGCCCAUUACUCAACGUCUGCUGGCCAGGAACUUCCCCAACUGUAAAAUGGGCAUAAUCAACUCCAGCCACAAGAACUACAGCAAGACAUGUGCGUCCAGAACCAGGAAGGGCAGCCACUCAAAAAACAUACUCUUUUCCUCUAAGAAGGUGGUUUCCUGGGGCAGAGAGUAGGGAGGGUCCAGGCCCUUCCAACUCCCCUGCGCACUUAGCUGGGACCUCGUCACUGGGCCCUAAAAGGCAGCUCCAGGAAUCAGCAGCAGAGGCCAGGCGGCGUCAGAGUUAACUCAGAGAUGCCACCUCCCCUCCACGCCUGCCCUGGCAGCCUCCUCGGCCCUGAGCACUCUCCUUAGAACCUCCUUCUAGCCUCUGUCCCUCCAGCCUUCUGGCCCCAGAGUCCACUCCCAGGGCCUACCCUCCUUCCUGGGCGCCACAUGGGCAAACCAACUGCUCUCCAAGCCCAGCCCUCACCCUGCCCGCCCUCUCCCCCCACCCCCAGAUCUCUGGGCCCAGGAGGCGACCUGGGUGCUUUAUACACAGAACACACUCCUCUUGUGACAUUCUCUCACUCGGCACAGAUGGGGGCCCCCAGAGCACAGAAGAGGGAAUCCCUGCACCCGACAAGCCCCCAGUCCAGGGGCUUUUUCAACACAGAACACCUGCCCUCUGGACACACUCGACAUCCAAAGAGAACAGCCUGGACUGCGCAGCUGCCCAUCCAGUCCUCCAGCCUCCCAAGACAGGCUGGCCACAGACGGAGUUUUCAAGUUUCUAGUAGACACCGUAAAAAAAAAAAAAAAAAAAAGUAAGAAA